Molecule: ribosomal RNA, 253 nt
Filed under: uncultured bacterium
Lineage: Bacteria
Description: partial 16S ribosomal RNA
Rfam family: Bacterial small subunit ribosomal RNA
Source: RNAcentral
UACGUAGGGGGCGAGCGUUGUCCGGAUUUAUUGGGCGUAAAGAGCGUGUAGGCGGUUCGGUAAGUCUGUCGUGAAAUCCUGAGGCUCAACCUCGGGCGUGCGAUGGAUACUGCCGGGCUAGAGGAUGGUAGAGGCGAGUGGAAUUCCCGGUGUAGCGGUGAAAUGCGCAGAUAUCGGGAGGAGCACCAGUAGCGAAGGCGGCUCGCUGGGCCAUUCCUGACGCUGAGACGCGAAAGCUAGGGGAGCGAACAGG